UGCCAGCACUCGGGAGGCUGAAGCAGGAGGGUCUCAGGAGUUUGAGGUCAGCCUGGUCUACCUGGUUCACAGAACAAGGACAAGAAAGACAAAGCAGCUUGUGCAGAGGAUGAGCCUGUGAGCUGGAGCUUGCGCAGUGGGAGAGAAAGGCACCGAAUCCCCUUGCUGGCAGUUCCCUCAUAAGUUUGUCCGCACGGGCAAAAUUUGGAGACACACAGAGAGGGCAGAGUAAAACCCUGCUCAAGGCCUGAGGAGAGCCAUGGUCUGACAAAGGACCAGGGACAACCGGAGGCCACCUGUGGAGCGGCCAGCACAGACCCAGGCUGCCAGGGAAGCUGUGUGUCAGCCCCUGUGCCUGCAAGGAAGCAAGGGGAGGCGAAAGGCCGAGGGGAGGACCAGCCCCAGCCUCAGGCGCUUUCCUGGAUGCGGGUGAGAAGAUCGGGGAGCAGGCUGGGAGGUGCUGCAGGCUGGG
Octodon degus (degu) is the source of this 472-nucleotide long non-coding RNA. RefSeq lists it as uncharacterized. NCBI's taxonomy places the organism in Eukaryota, Metazoa, Chordata, Mammalia, Rodentia, Octodontidae. The record is from RefSeq and is a predicted model, not a curated record. The transcript has 3 exons.